AGUGGGAAAGUUUUACAAUGUCGGUCUGUGGAGCUGAAGAAGUGAGCUGACUAGCUCUCUCCCACUA
RNAcentral lists this transfer RNA (67 nucleotides) under Strongylocotes lipogonus. Its description in RNAcentral is "tRNA-His". Lineage: Eukaryota; Metazoa; Arthropoda; Insecta; Psocodea; Heptapsogasteridae. The record is from RNAcentral.